CCUACGGGAGGCAGCAGUAGGGACUAUUGCUCAAUGGGGGAAACCCUGAAGCAGCAACGCCGCGUGGAGGAUGAAGGUUUUCGGAUUGUAAACUCCUUUUGUUAGAGAAGAUAAUGACGGUAUCUAACGAAUAAGCACCGGCUAACUCCGUGCCAGCAGCCGCGGUAAUACGGAGGGUGCAAGCGUUACUCGGAAUCACUGGGCGUAAAGAGCGCGUAGGCGGGAUAGCAAGUCAGAUGUGAAAUCCUAUGGGUUAACCAUAGAACUGCAUUUGAAACUGUUAUUCUAGAGUAUGGGAGAGGUAGGUGGAAGUCUUGGUGGAGGGGUAAAAUCCGUAGAGAUCAAGAGGAAUACUCAGUGCGAAGGCGACCUGCUAGAACAUAACUGACGCUGAUGCGCGAAAGCGUGGGGAGCAAACAGGAUUAGAUACCCUAGUAGUC
Molecule: ribosomal RNA, 440 nt
Filed under: uncultured bacterium
Lineage: Bacteria
Description: partial 16S ribosomal RNA
Rfam family: Bacterial small subunit ribosomal RNA
Source: RNAcentral